RNAcentral lists this ribosomal RNA (434 nucleotides) under uncultured bacterium. Its description in RNAcentral is "bacterial SSU rRNA". It matches the Rfam family "Bacterial small subunit ribosomal RNA", at positions 74 to 505 of the family's 1533-position model. The record is from RNAcentral.
GCGGGGCAACCUGGCGGCGAGUGGCGAACGGGUGAGUAAUAUAUCGGAACGUACCCAGAAGUGGGGGAUAACGUAGCGAAAGUUACGCUAAUACCGCAUACGAUCUACGGAUGAAAGUGGGGGACCUUCGGGCCUCAUGCUUUUGGAGCGGCCGAUAUCUGAUUAGCUAGUUGGUAGGGUAAAGGCCUACCAAGGCGACGAUCAGUAGCUGGUCUGAGAGGACGACCAGCCACACUGGGACUGAGACACAGCCCAGACUCCUACGGGAGGCAGCAGUGGGGAAUUUUGGACAAUGGGCGCAAGCCUGAUCCAGCAAUGCCGCGUGAGUGAAGAAGGCCUUCGGGUUGUAAAGCUCUUUUGUCAGGGAAGAAACGGCUGCGGCUAAUAUCCGCGGCUAAUGACGGUACCUGAAGAAUAAGCACCGGCUAACUACG